RNAcentral lists this long non-coding RNA (3184 nucleotides) under Strigops habroptila (Kakapo). RNAcentral's name for it is "lncRNA (ENSSHBG00005008986.1)". The record is from RNAcentral. Lineage: Eukaryota; Metazoa; Chordata; Aves; Psittaciformes; Psittacidae.
AUCAUGGAGAGUUUCACAAAUUACAGAUUAAUUAAAAAUUACCCUGCUUGGAAAUAUAAAUGUGCUACCUCGUGCUUUCAUAUCUCCCAGCUGCCAUCUCCUACUCAACAUGGCAGCAUCCUCACGCUGACACUGCGGACCAGAAUAUUGGCCACUGCCUGGCUGACUGAUUCUCCUUUGCAGUUCAAAAUAGAGGGUAACACAGAGUUUAGGUAGCCAGUUUCUGGAAGUAAUAGAGAUGGUUCCUCUGCAGUGGAAAGGAGGUUCGCUUUGUGACAUUGCAGAUUUAAAAGAAUCAGUAUACUGAAUUAAAGUAUGCUGAUUAUAACUUAGAGCUUAAAAAAUAGGAGAGUUCCUUUUUGCUCUGCCAGAAAGAGUAGCAGUUAUGCCCCUCAUAAAGUCAAAGCAAGUCUGCUUUUAUAAUGAAAAUUAUUAUUAGAUGGUGGAGACUUGGUUCAAUGGCUGUAUCAUUGCCAUCUUACCAGCUUUCUGAAAGUGGUAUCCAUCCACCAACUACUGAUUCAUUUUCCCUUAUUAAAAUCACAGACUAUGCAAAAAAGACACUGAUAUAUUCCUAAGUCAAUAUAAUAAAUAGGAAAUGCAACAAAAUUUAGUCACUUUAGUUUCUGCAGAGAAUGAACCACGUGAAGAACCCUUCUGAGCAGUAAGGCAAUGUGCUAAUUUAAUACAAUGAGGCUUUGAAGGAUGCAUUUUUCAGGGGCACAAGGGGAAGAAAUGUGCCAGAGUAUUGCUGCAAGCAAGGGGCUCUGGCUGCACUGGAACAGGUGGGUUUCAGGGAGACUGUUGCCUCCCUGUCCCUCUGGCUGAGCUGCAUCAGGGUACACCUGGGCAGGGAAGUGGGCUCAGCUCUGCUCAGGAAGCCAGCGCUGCUCCUAGAGCAGAUACAGUGAGUAGACAGGGAAGGUAAAAAAAAGGGUGAGAAACAAAAGCAGUAUUAAAAGUCUGAGGGGAGGGAAAAAAAUAUAAUAAAAAGAAAUAUGUGUUUUGUGGACUUCUGAAAUAGAGUUGUUUUCUAGAAGAUAUCUUCAUUAUCAAGGCACAUUGGAUAAGGCUUUCAAUUUAUACCAGUGUAAGCUGCAGGAUCUAAAUUAUACUUCAUUGUACAACAAAGAUGGAGCUACCCUCUGAAAAGAACCUGCUAAUAUAGGCUUGUAAUUUCAAUUUUUCACACAUUUUUCAGUCUGUAUUUCAGUAGAAAUGUAAUCUACCUAAUCACUGCUUUAGGCUAAUAGCCUCUAAUACAGUAUAGCAUCAAAAAUGUCAAACUUAUGAUAAAAAAAGGGGGGAAAGUCAUAAGUGUUCAGUGAAACCACUUCUUUGAAUACUUUUCCACAAGAUUUGUGCAUUCUCUUUGGUGGGUUUUGUGGAAUACAUAUUAAUCACAUCUGAAAUAAAAAGGGAAAGCUGUACCACCAUGAAACCCUUCGAUGUCUAAUGUAUGUAUUACAGCUAUAAAGCCAUUAAAUAUACUUUUAAGGAAUCAUUGGCAUAUAACCUAAAAGAAGAAAAGUGUUUUACACUGUGCAUGUCAGAUAUAUCUUGUUGUAGCUUGUUAAGACCUUUACUUCAGCUUUUUAAAAUGAAAAACUGUCAAUUUUUGCAAUCUGUUGGGCAAGGUGGUCAAAUUCUUUAAAAUAGUAAAAAAAAAAAAUCUAUUGUAAAGUUAAAAGGAGAGAAGGAAUAGAUUCUACAGUAUUCCUGCUAUUUAAUUACACCAAAUACUUUAAUUACCCAACUCACUCAUGUAUGACAAACCCCUGAAAUCUCAUAGGUAAUUUGAUAGUACAUACAAGAUGAAACACCUGCAUGUCAAUAUUUUGGUCCAUUUACAUAACUCCCUUAAACAGGGAGGCAAUGGAAAAUCUGCAACAACGAUUUAACAAGUCUUUAUGUGUAUAUUGCUGUCCUUCCAUCUCUUCCAUUAAUAUUUGUUCUGUUUUUCUCCUUCAUGCUACAGCAGUAAUGCUGAUGAUGCAACCCCAGACAGUCAUUUGUGUGUAAUAGCUUCAGGCAUGAAAUGCUUGGUUUGCCCUCCUGAGUAGCUAUCACGGGCCGUGCUCCCCAGGUCUGUAUGUGUGAGAGGUCAUGAAAAUGAGGAGUUUCCUUAAACUUUAGGGAUGUGGGUAAUACACAGAGUAAAAAAGGAACUGAGUGAAUGAGUAAUGUAGCCAUAGUGGAAUUGAAGGCAGGAGUAAGAAACUUUUUGCUCAAAACAACAGAUUUAUUUGAUGUUGGGCAUUUGCUUUUAUAAAAGAUGAAAAUAAGCAAGAGCGUAAGACAAGAAAAUAAACCGAUUAUUCUUAAGUCUAUUUUGCCAUACAUAAAGCCUAACAAAAAUUGUUCACAAUAACAACAACUUUUUUCCUGUGGACAAAGACUGUCUGGGCUCAUGACAGCUUUCUCUUCUGUUAUUUAGAUAGUAAAUACAGAAGGAAAGCUGAUUAUAUGCCAAUAUAUUAAAUAUUCUACUUUUAAACGCUCUCAGAAAGGUCAGGAAUUGCAUCACUGACCAUUCUGGUUUUUUAUUCUAUUUAGAAUUUCACAACUUCUGCCCAUCUCCCCCCACAUACGUAUUCAACAGAUUUUGCAACUUUCCUUUAAAUCGUCUCAAAUGGUCUUAGCUAAUAUGAUAAAUGUCAAGUAUCUUUGAAAAGGUCUGAAAAACUAGUGUCACAAAAUUAAUUUGAGGCUAAGCAAUUUGAAUCUUUCUGUCCUUGUAAUCAAAACUUCAAAAGAAAGAUCCAGAAAUAAAAAUUUAGUUAGCUGUUGGAGUAUGUUUGAGUGUAUUGGAAUAUGGAAUAUGGAAAAUUGUUUGACCUAGGAGAAUAUUAAUUCGUCUGCAGAGAAAAGAGUACCUGCAAAUGUUGUGAUUUUUCUUCUGGGUCAGAGAGUGGGAAAUGAGGCUAGAUAACUAACAGUAUAAUAAAAAAUAUGCUAUGUGCUUUUAUGCUUCUGUACUCCUAUAUAGUAAUGUAUUACUAAAUAUUGUAUAUCCCCAAAACAGCAUUCAACAAAAAUGUUAAAUUGAUUGGACCUGUUCUUUUCAGAUUAUUUUUCCAGAAAGUUAAGGGCAAUAUUCAAGAAAGUUGAAAUAUCUGAAAAUAUUCAGAAUGUAAAUUCAAUCCAUGUGAGUAACUAGUGGUCUGUCUAGAAUGCCGGUGUA